This is a long non-coding RNA of Zingiber officinale, 2511 nucleotides long. RefSeq lists it as uncharacterized. The transcript is spliced from 3 exons. The record is from RefSeq and is a predicted model, not a curated record. NCBI's taxonomy places the organism in Eukaryota, Viridiplantae, Streptophyta, Magnoliopsida, Zingiberales, Zingiberaceae.
AAACCUAAGUUCUGUCGAAGGUUGUUCUCCUUCGUGUUUUCCCUCGACGCGCGAUACAGCCUUCUCCAGGUUUCCACCGAAAGGUUUUUCUCCUUCGCAUUUUCUCUUAGACGCACAAUGGAAGCCUUCUCCUUCGCGUGCCACCCCGGACAAUAGCCUUCUCCUUCAUGUUUUCCCCUAGAUGGCAGUCUUCUCAUUUUUCCUCGAUGCAAAACCUUCGCGUUGAGAUGCUUCACUUCCUCUUCUCUCGGCACGCUAGGUUUCUUCCCUCUCUACCCCCUUCUUUCCUUUCCUCUCUACUUCACUGCCACUUAACUUGAAUCACUGCUGCCUGAGGAACCUGCCUCUUUCUACCCCCAGCCCCUUGGAGCAUUGAAUUCGAGGGUUUUCAUCGGUUAUUCCAUUUACAAAGGGAAGGCAGCACUCAUAGUGGAUCCACGAGCCCCUGAAUUCACCCCUCUUGAAUUUGGAGCUUACAAAGUCUCUAAGGAAGGAUUUACUCUCCUCCAAUUUGCUCCUGCUGUAAGUACUCAACAAUAUGAUUGGAGCAGAAAGCAAGUAUGCCAAAUUGUUUCUUUUUAUCCUUCUCUGUGUGUGAUUGUAAUGUCAUGACUCUUAGAUAAUUGCAAUCCUUCCCUUCUUAUCACAAGUCGUGCAAAAAAUGAAUUAAAAGGGCUUUUCUAUUAUCUUUCUAAUGAUACUUGCCACUAGAGCCUCAGUCAGACUGUUAGUGACCCAUUGGAGCUAUUUAUUUAAUUUUAUAUAUAUAAAAAAAGAAGUUGUCAUUAACGAUGCUAAAAUUUGAGCCUUUGAUCUCAUUAUAAGCAAAAUAAUCCUUUACAAACAUAGAAAUUUGAUACAUAUGACACAGUGAUGUAUGAAACCAUCCCUGGUAAAAGAAUGGUUAUGUGCAACAUGGAUAUGUAAAAACCAUAGUUCAUGUUAUUUCUUCUAAGUUUUGCACAUGGUUAGUGAAGAAUCAUGUAUUGAUGAAUCAUAAUUCUAGACAAUUUUAUGACACAUUGGUGUCCAAAAGUCCUAAUGUUCAUAGAGAAAUAUAAUGAGACAUCACUAGUUGCAUUCAUAUAGUUUUCUAUUAGUUUUGAUACUUGGAGAGUGUAAAAUUAUAUUUUGUCAGAACAUAGUUCCUAUGGUGUUCAAACAUUCUAAAUUUUAGAGAUAUAAUGGAACAAUAUCAUUUGACAAAAUAUGGUUCUGCACUUUGAAAUGUCACAACUCAAACAAAACAACAUGAGUGAAACUAAUGACAAGAGAGUGACUCUGUUUAGACUUUUGGCGGCUUCCAAUGGACACUACUCCACUGAAGCCUGAUGGUUGAUAAGACUCCAACCAACACCUUGUAGAGUCCAACGAAGGGGUAUGGAUAUCUUUAUAAGAAAAAAUUGGAAAAGGUCAUCUAUAAGGCAUUUUGCAAAAUUGAGACCUUUAUAAGGCUUUUUGAAUUAAAAGGAACCUAGAACUUUUUCCAAUAAAGUUUUGAGUCCAGUAGGACUUCACUAUUUUUUUUUAAAAAAAAACAUAUUCAAUUAACCCGUGUUGAAAUUUAGUUGAAUGAUUUUGGAAGAUUGAUCCUUCAUUAUUGAAUUAAUGAUAAAAUUAAGCUUGUAUGCUACAAAUAUCAUAGCCAAUGAUGCUCCAUUAUGAUUAUUGCUAGCAUGCUUUGUUCAUAUAAUUAGUUGGUCAAUGCACAAUUAGUUUGUUCAUACAACUUAUUGAAUCCUUAAUUCUGAACAUGUUUCUAUCCCUUCUGCUGGCAAGUUCCAUGUUCUCUUUGGCAUCUUUGUUUGCUUUCUUAUGGUAUUUUAUACAAACAUAUGUCAAUUUUUUUUUCAUUAUUGAUGCAGGUCAUUUCUUUGUUCAUAUCUUAAAUUAGCCAUCUAAUGAGUUUCAGUGCAAAGGAUUCUUGUGAAUUUUUUCAUGAUGCAUUCAAGGGAAGAAAGUAAUAUUUUGAACCUUGAUCAGAAAUUUGUUCUAUGCAUCAAAAUCAUUGUGUAGUUUAUCUUGGUUCUUGAAUAGGGAUGUGAUAACAAUUCUAAAAUGUUUUUUUUUUAGUUUUUAACACCAUUUUAUGUGUCUUGUUAUAUAUGAUUUUCUCUAAUGCGCAGCUUUAUUUGAUCAAACAAUAUUUGUUAGUGAGUGUAUCUUCAUAUUCAUGCACUUGCAUAUUCCACUAAUUAGUUUCUUGAUAUUUAUGAGUGUAGGUAACGAUAUCCUAGCUUAACAUCAUAAUUCAUGAGAAUCUAUAAGACUAUUCCAACUGUAACUCAUUCAGUGUCUUUGCUUAAGUGCAACCUUUAUUAUUAUUAUUAUUAUUAUUAUUAUUAUUAUUAUUAUUAUUAUUAUUUUACAGCAAGGAAGGCAAGAUAAGGAAGAUUUUAAAGGUUGAACCUCUUCCAGAUGGCAUCUGAUAUUUCUUUAAUCUCAAUAAUUCAUUAGUUUCUUAUAUUUUGAAUUUAAACAGGAUUUUUUUUUCCAUAUGAUGUAAUCUAU